GACGAACGCUGGCGGCGUGCUUAACACAUGCCAGUCGAACGGAAAGGCCUCUUUCGGGGGGUACUCGAGUGGCGAACGGGUGAGUAACACGUGAGUAACCUGCCCUUGACUUUGGGAUAACUUAAGGAAACUGGGGCUAAUACCGGAUAGGAGCUCCUGCUGCAUGGUGGGGGUUGGAAAGUUUCGGCGGUUGGGGAUGGACUCGCGGCUUAUCAGCUUGUUGGUGGGGCAGUGGCUUACCAAGGCUUUGACGGGUAGCCGGCCUGAGAGGGUGACCGGCCACAUUGGGACUGAGAUACGGCCCAGACUCCUACGGGAGGCAGCAGUGGGGAAUAUUGCACAAUGGGUGGAAGCCUGAUGCAGCAACGCCGUGUGCGGGAUGACGGCCUUCGGGUUGUAAACCGCUUUCGCUCAUGACGAAGCUUUGUGUGACGGUAGUGGGUAAAGAAGCACCGGCUAACUACGUG
Molecule: ribosomal RNA, 467 nt
Filed under: uncultured bacterium
Lineage: Bacteria
Description: partial 16S ribosomal RNA
Rfam family: Bacterial small subunit ribosomal RNA
Source: RNAcentral